GAUGAACGCUGGCGGCGUGCUUAACACAUGCAAGUCGAACGAAGCGAUUUAGCGGAAGUUUUCGGAUGGAAGCUAGAUUGACUGAGUGGCGGACGGGUGAGUAACGCGUGGGUAACCUGCCUCACACUGGGGGACAACAGUUAGAAAUGACUGCUAAUACCGCAUAAGCGCACAGGACCGCAUGGUCCGGUGUGAAAAACUCCGGUGGUGUGAGAUGGACCCGCGUUUGAUUAGCUAGUUGGUGGGGUAACGGCCUACCAAGGCGACGAUCAAUAGCCGACCUGAGAGGGUGACCGGCCACAUUGGGACUGAGACACGGCCCAAACUCCUACGGGAGGCAGCAGUGGGGAAUAUUGCACAAUGGGGGAAACCCUGAUGCAGCGACGCCGCGUGAGUGAAGAAGUAUUUCGGUAUGUAAAGCUCUAUCAGCAGGGAAGAAAAUGACGGUACCUGACUAAGAAGCCCCGGCUAACUACGUGCCAGCAGCCGCGGUAAUACGUAGGGGGCAAGCGUUAUCCGGAUUUACUGGGUGUAAAGGGAGCGUAGACGGUAAAGCAAGUCUGAAGUGAAAGCCCGGGGCUCAACCCCGGGACUGCUUUGGAAACUGUUUAACUAGAGUGCUGGAGAGGUAAGCGGAAUUCCUAGUGUAGCGGUGAAAUGCGUAGAUAUUAGGAGGAACACCAGUGGCGAAGGCGGCUUACUGGACAGUAACUGACGUUGAGGCUCGAAAGCGUGGGGAGCAAACAGGAUUAGAUACCCUGGUAGUCCACGCCGUAAACGA
This 781-nucleotide ribosomal RNA is filed under the name uncultured bacterium. Its description in RNAcentral is "bacterial SSU rRNA". It matches the Rfam family "Bacterial small subunit ribosomal RNA", at positions 28 to 809 of the family's 1533-position model. The record is from RNAcentral.